Molecule: ribosomal RNA, 1543 nt
Filed under: Panops baudini
Lineage: Eukaryota; Metazoa; Arthropoda; Insecta; Diptera; Acroceridae
Description: partial 28S ribosomal RNA
Rfam family: Eukaryotic large subunit ribosomal RNA
Source: RNAcentral
CCUCAGGAUAGCUGGUGCAAUUAAAUAUUAUAUAAGAUAAUCUUAUCUGGUAAAGCGAAUGAUUAGAGGCAUUAGGGUCGAAACGAUCUUAACCUAUUCUCAAACUUUAAAUGGGUAAGAACCUUAUCUUUCUUGAUAUGAAGAUAUUUAUGAUAUAUUGUGCCCAGUGGGCCACUUUUGGUAAGCAGAACUGGCGCUGUGGGAUGAACCAAACGUAAUGUUAAGGCGCCUAAAUUUACAACUCAUACUGAUACCAUGAAAGGCGUUGCUUGCUUAAAACAGCAGGACGGUGGACAUGGAGGUCGUAAUCCGCUAAGGAGUGUGUAACAACUCACCUGCCGAAGCAACUAGCCCUUAAAAUGGAUGGCGCUCAAGUUGUAUGCCUAUACAUUACCGCUAAUAUAUAUGAUUUAUAAAUAUUUAUAUUAUAAAUUUUGAUUAGUGAGUAGGAGGGUACAAUGGUGUGCGUAGAAGUGUUUGGCGUAAGCCUGCAUGGAGCCGCCAUUGGCACAGAUCUUGGUGGUAGUAGCAAAUAAUCGAAUGAGAUCUUGGAGGACUGAAGUGGAGAAGGGUUUCGUGUGAACAGUGGUUGAUCACGAGUUAGUCGGUCCUAAGUUCAAGGCGAAAGUCGUAAAAUGUUAAAGUAAAAAUUUUUAUAUAUUAUACUUUAUAUAAAUUUUAAUGAACGAAAGGGAAUACGGUUCCAAUUCCGUAACCUGUUGAGUAUACGUUUGUAAUUAAAAAUGGGCUUUAAUGCUCAUCCUGGUAACAGUAACAACCAUAAAGCAGCCGUCGAGAGGUAUCGAAAGAGUUUUCUUUUCUGUUUUAUAGUUGUAUUACCAUGGAAGUCUUUCGAAGAGAGAUAUGGUAAAUGGACUAGAAGAGCAUGGCAUUUACUGCUGUGUCGAUAUUUUCUCCUCGGACCUUGAAAAUUUAUGGUCGGGCCACGCAAAUUUCUUAACAGGCCGUACCGAUAUCCGCAGCUGGUCUCCAAGGUGAAGAGUCUCUAGUCGAUAGAAUAAUGUAGGUAAGGGAAGUCGGCAAAUUAGAUCCGUAACUUCGGGAUAAGGAUUGGCUCUGAAGAUUGAGAUAGUCGGGCUUGAUUGGGAAGCAAUAUUAUGGUUUAUGUACUCGUUCUGGGUAAAUUAGAAUGAAGUUUAUAUUUUAGAUGUAAAUGGAAUUUGUUCCCCGGAUAGUAGUUUACGUAACCAAUUGCGGAACUUUCUUGCUAAUAAUAUAUUAGAAAAAAGGAAUGUAAAUUUAUAUAUUUAUAACGGCUAUCAAUUAACAAUCAAUUCAGAACUGGCACGGACUUGGGGAAUCCGACUGUCUAAUUAAAACAAAGCAUUGUGAUGGCCCUAACGGGUGUUGACACAAUGUGAUUUCUGCCCAGUGCUCUGAAUGUCAAAGUGAAGAGAUUCAAGUAAGCGCGGGUAAACGGCGGGAGUAACUAUGACUCUCUUAAGGUAGCCAAAUGCCUCGUCAUCCAAUUAGUGACGCGCAUGAAUGGAUUAACGAGAUUCCUACUGUCCCUAUCUACUAU